AAUGAACGUUGGCGGCAUGGAUUAGGCAUGCAAGUCGCGCGAUAAGAUUCCUUCGGGAAUCCGAAAGCGGCGAAAGGGAGAGUAACGCGUAGAUGAUCUACCCCGAGGACUGGGAUAGCGGCGGGAAACUGCCGGUAAUACCAGAUGAUGUCUCCGGACCAAAGGUGUGAUUCCGCCUUGGGAUGAAUCCGCGUCCUAUUAGCUAGUUGGUGAGGUAACGGCUCACCAAGGCGAAGAUGGGUACCGGGUGUGAGAGCAUGACCCGGCUCACUGGGACUGAGACACUGCCCAGACACCUACGGGUGGCUGCAGUCGAGAAUCUUCGGCAAUGGGCGAAAGCCUGACCGAGCAAUGCCGCGUGCGGGAUGAA
Molecule: ribosomal RNA, 370 nt
Filed under: uncultured bacterium
Lineage: Bacteria
Description: bacterial SSU rRNA
Rfam family: Bacterial small subunit ribosomal RNA
Source: RNAcentral